RNAcentral lists this ribosomal RNA (141 nucleotides) under uncultured eukaryote. RNAcentral describes it as "partial 18S ribosomal RNA". It matches the Rfam family "Eukaryotic small subunit ribosomal RNA", at positions 1299 to 1458 of the family's 1831-position model. The record is from RNAcentral.
UGGUGGAGCGAUCUGUCUGGUUAAUUCCGUUAACGAACGAGACCUUACUCUGCUAAAUAGACGGGCGAACUGCGGUUCGACCCCGAAGCUUCUUAGAGAGACUGCGGAGCGAUGAGCCCGAGGAGGCAUAAGGCAAUAACA